GACGAACGCUGGCGGCGUGCUUAACACAUGCAAGUCGAACGGAAAGGCCCCUUUGGGGGUACUCGAGUGGCGAACGGGUGAGUAACACGUGCGUAACCUGCCCUUGACUUCGGGAUAACUUCAGGAAACUGGGGCCAAUACCGGAUAGGAAUCAUUGCUGCAAGGUGGGGGUUGGAAAGUUUCGGCGGUUUUGGCUGGACUCGCGGCGUAUCAGCUUGCUGGUGGGGUAGUGGCUUACCAAGGCUUUUACGGGUAGCCGGCCUGAGAGGGCGACCGGCCACACUGGGACUGAGAGACGGCCCAGGCACCUACGGGAGGCAGCAGGGGGGAAGAUUGCAGGAGCGGCGGAGGGCGAGUGCUGCAACGCCGCGGACGGGGUGACGGCCUUAGGGGUGUAAACCGCUUUCAGCAGGGGCGAAGCUUGUGGUGACGGUACCUGCAGAGGAAGCACCGGCUAACUACGUG
RNAcentral lists this ribosomal RNA (465 nucleotides) under uncultured bacterium. Its description in RNAcentral is "partial 16S ribosomal RNA". It matches the Rfam family "Bacterial small subunit ribosomal RNA", at positions 28 to 507 of the family's 1533-position model. The record is from RNAcentral.